RNAcentral lists this long non-coding RNA (2510 nucleotides) under Zostera marina. RNAcentral describes it as "long non-coding RNA (ZMAR_LNC000583)". The record is from RNAcentral. Lineage: Eukaryota; Viridiplantae; Streptophyta; Magnoliopsida; Alismatales; Zosteraceae.
GAAGAUCCAAGGGUGGACAUUAAGUGGCCAAGGCUAUAAAUAGAAGAGUAAUCCCCUCAUUUUCACUCACCACACUACAAGCAAACUCAAGAGCUUUCACUCCACACUUGCCCACACGUUUUUGCCUCCAAGCUUCCAAGCUUUCAAGUGCUCAAGUGUCCUAGCUUUCCAAAGCUCUCCAACUUCUUCUUCUAAUCUUCUUGUUCAUCUUUACAAGUAAGAAGUGUUGUUUGCUUUAAUAUUCUACUUCUCUAAUCACCUCUUGUGUGUCCACUUUGGUUGAGAGGGUUGUCUCAAUAGUACCAAAGUGUGAGAGAAGGUUUUCGAGCUCAACCAUAAAUCUCUAGUUUGGUUUUAUAGAGUUUCUGGGAAAACUCUUAGGUCAAAUCUACCUUGAAAGAUUUCUAGGUUUUUAAGAGUUCCUUGAUACUCUAAGGUACUAACUUACCCGUAAAAGUUAGAGGUUCUUAAAAGUGCCCUCGAUACUCUAAGGUGUGAGUCUACCCGUAAAAGACUGGUUCUUAAGCGAAGUAGUCUUAAAGCUUAGAGAGGUUUUUAAGAGUUCCUUGAUACUCUAAGGUACUAACUUACCCGCAAAAGUUAGAGGUUCUUAAGAGUGCUCUUGAUACUCUAAGAUGUGAGUCUACAUGUAAAAGAUUGGUUCCUAAGCGAAGUAGCCUUAAAGCUUAGAGAGGUUCUUAAGAGUUUCCUUGAUAUUCUAAGGUUUUGCCAUAACCUUUAGACUAGUGAAUUCCGACAGUUGGUCGGGACUGGAUUAGCCCUUGUUUGGGUGAACCAGUAUAAAUUCUCUUGUGUUGUUCUUUGUUAACUUUAGUUUUUAUUUUUCAUUUAAAAACAAUUAAACAACACUUAAUUGAAAAGGAUCACUCUUCCAGUUAUCUGGUCAAAUACAGAGGUUGACUACUUUACGCAAAUCCCUCAUCCAGUUAUCUGGUCAACUAUCUGUGGUUAUAUUUAUUGCUUUAAAUCUUUAUUCAUAUAUUUGUUCAAGCAUUUACUUAUCAUAUAUAUAUCCAGUUAUCUGGUCAUAUCUUGCUUAUCAAAUAUAUAUCCAGUUAUCUGAUCAUUUACUCUAUAAUAUAACUUGUGUUUAUAAUAUAACUUAAUAUUUAUAUACUACAGUUGUUUAUAAAACACUAUCUAAAAGUUGACUCUGUACUCAUAUACUGAAGUAAACUUUUAUAGAAAAAGGCAAGUCCAAUAUAUAAUAUUAUAAGAUAUAAUAUUAUACUCCUUAAAAUCAUAUAAUAGUAUUAUAUUGCUAACAAUAUUAUACUAUUAUUAUUAUACAACCAUUUGUGUACUUAAGUGUGUGCAGGUAAUUCCGUUAUUAAUCUGCACAAAUCGAAAAGAGACUAUUAUCUCUUCUUAUACGGAUGAUGAUCCAACAAAUUCAUCAUUUAAUCCUAAUAAGAAAUGAUGAAUCCUAUCUUUCCAAUUUUUUUAUUGUAAAUUGGAGUGCAUAAUGCAGAAAACAUGCAAUCAGGUUUUUCUAUUUCUACAAAUUGAUCUCAUAAAGACUUAAAUUUAUCAAAAAAAAAUUGAUACAAAAACACUUGACUGAUUUAAGGUAUUAAUCUUAUACCUUAGUUGAUUUGUUUUAUGAGCAUUUUUCUGUUUGUACCUUUCUUAAAAGUCUGACCAUGCUCCAUAUUCUGUCUCCGUAUGAAUAAGAGUAGAUGUUAUAUGAGGACUUACAUUGUUAAUGAUCCAAGACAGAAUUAGACCAUUAAUCAUUUCCCAAUCUUCAUAUUCUUCCCUUGUCUCAUCCAGAGGCUUCUUUAUCUUGCCAUUGAUGAAAGCUGUCUUCUUUUUAGACACCAAGGAUAAUUUCAUCGAAUUGGCCCAGGCCACAUAAUUCUCUUCACCUGUGAGUUUGUCUCCCACCAUUUGGGCACCUGGGUGAUCUCCAGCACUAAGGUAAUAUAGAGAUUUUCUUGAGUGGUUGUUGUUGUUUUUAUGCCGAUAUCUCUUGGAUAUUGUUUGAUACGCUUAGUACCAAGGGAGGGAGACCAGAGCUUCUCGAAUCUCUUACAAUUAAAAAGAAUUAUAAUACUCAAGAUUGAUUUCCUUUAUUCCAUAAUAACGUGACUUUAUAUAGCCUUACAAAUACUAACAAAUCUGAAAACAAAUCAUAAAUUGCUAAAUCAACAUGCAUAGAAAGAAAUAAUAAACGUGGAUGGAAAUCAAGAAAUAAAUAAUUUAAUGUUAAAUGCAAUGUAUAGAGAAUCGAGCGUAUCAUUGUUUUUCCUAGUUUUGGGUCUUGGAGACCGAAAAUUUGUUGAGUCGCUUUUAUUGGUCGAGUUUGCAGAGCUUCCUUCAUUGGAUUUCUCUGAUUCAUCACUUGAGCUUGUUAUCAUUGAGGAAGCAGAGGGAAUGUCGACGUCGUUACCUAUUGAUACCAUGUUAAAUCAGUGCGCAGGCAACUUUCCGGGAGAAAUGAAAUCAGUGGCCGGAAUUGAACGCGAGCUUGAAGUGCAAGAAUUGGU